AACGAACGCUGGCGGCAGGCCUAACACAUGCAAGUCGAACGAUCCUUCGGGAUAGUGGCAGACGGGUGAGUAACGCGUGGGAACCUUCCCUGUGGUACGGAAUAGCUCCGGGAAACUGGAAUUAAUACCGUAUACGCCCUUCGGGGGAAAGAUUUAUCGCCAUAGGAUGGGCCCGCGUCGGAUUAGCUUGUUGGUGAGGUAAUGGCUCACCAAGGCUACGAUCCGUAGCUGGUCUUAGAGGAUGAUCAGCCACACUGGGACUGAGACACGGCCCAGACUCCUACGGGAGGCAGCAGUGGGGAAUAUUGGACAAUGGGCGCAAGCCUGAUCCAGCCAUGCCGCGUGAGUGACGAAGGCCUUAGGGUUGUAAAGCUCUUUUGGCGGGGACGAUAAUGACGGUACCCGCAGAAUAAGCCCCGGCUAACUUCGUG
RNAcentral lists this ribosomal RNA (431 nucleotides) under uncultured bacterium. RNAcentral's name for it is "bacterial SSU rRNA". It matches the Rfam family "Bacterial small subunit ribosomal RNA", at positions 29 to 507 of the family's 1533-position model. The record is from RNAcentral.